CAGUCGCCGCGGGAAUACAGAGGAUGCAAGCGUUAUCCGGAAUGAUUGGGCGUAAAGCGUCUGUAGGUGGCUUUUCAAGUCCGCCGUCAAAUCCCAGGGCUCAACCCUGGACAGGCGGUGGAAACUACCAAGCUGGAGUAUGGUAGGGGCAGAGGGAAUUUCGGUGGAGCGGUGAAAUGCGUUGAGAUCGGAAAGAACACCAACGGCGAAAGCACUCUGCUGGGCCGACACUGACACUGAGAGACGAAAGCUAGGGGAGCAAAUGGGAUUAGAUACCCGCGUAGUCCCUGUCUCUUAUACA
RNAcentral lists this ribosomal RNA (301 nucleotides) under uncultured bacterium. RNAcentral describes it as "partial 16S ribosomal RNA". It matches the Rfam family "Bacterial small subunit ribosomal RNA", at positions 509 to 808 of the family's 1533-position model. The record is from RNAcentral.